Molecule: non-coding RNA, 58 nt
Organism: Aedes albopictus (Asian tiger mosquito)
Lineage: Eukaryota; Metazoa; Arthropoda; Insecta; Diptera; Culicidae
Source: Rfam
UAGCCUUGUGGAUAAGGUAUUGGAUCGGCAAUCCGGAGACGACGGGUUCGAUUCCCGU